Patella vulgata (common limpet) is the source of this 710-nucleotide long non-coding RNA. RefSeq lists it as uncharacterized. The record is from RefSeq and is a predicted model, not a curated record. The transcript is spliced from 3 exons. Lineage: Eukaryota; Metazoa; Mollusca; Gastropoda; Patellidae.
AGAUCAGAUAUUCAGUGAAACGCCACUCGUUUCCUUAAAGAAACCAGUUUGGGUUAUGAUCAUUUGGUUUAUGCUAAAAUCACAUCUAUAUCUGGACGCCCAGAGAUUAAAUGGGCUUCAAUUGGUUACAGAGGAAGAUCAAAACCCAAAAAAUUCAAGUCUUUGCGAUUGGCAGAAGUGAAUAAUGUUUAUCUUGCUGUAUAUAAAGGUUUCCGUACAGUUGUAUUUGAGACGAGGAAGAAGAAAUUUAUAUUUAAAUUUAUUGAUGGUGAUGAGAUAGCUGCCUUUACUCGGUGUUUGGAGAAUAAUCUAGAAGAACACCCAAGUAUGACAAAUGGAAAUGCUGAAAGUAUACAUGCCUGAAUAUUAGUGAUAUGAAACAUUGCAAAAAUGAACUGAAAUAUGUCAGAGGAGGAUGAAAGGGGAGCGUUUGGGUGCAAACUAGAUAUUUGACGAUUUUUUACGAUUAAUCCCACGAAAAGCUAUUGUAAAAAGCACAUCUGACGUGUUAUGAUUGGUAUUGUCAAGUUUCUUUCCCAUUGAAUACAAGAAAAGAGAAACAAUCACUCCACCCCUUUACGCCCCCUCCUAACAACCAAAAAAAACCCCAAAACAAAUCCCAAAUUUGAGAUCAAAUAGAGAAUAGAAUAUAUGUGAUUAUCAUUUCAUCUUUGGUUCUAUAUAUUUAGACACAGUAUCGUAAAUAACGA